GCAAUGGCAUAUGCUAGGAUGACCAUCAGGUGAGGGCUGGAGGAAUGACCCAAUCAACUUCAAUAGAGAGAGGAAGGAUGGCUGUGGGAGAACCUCUAUUCAUCCUCUCCCUCAUUAUCUUUUAUAUUUAUUUAUUUAUUUUAUUUAGCAAUUAUUUAAGAUCCUUAACUACAAGAAAAUUAAUUAUUAGCAAUGGCAUUUAGCCGUCGCUAAUAAAGAAUAUUCUUGUAGUGCUUUCAAAAAUAAAUAAAUAAUAAAAUGUCACAAAUCCUCUAUG
Molecule: long non-coding RNA, 277 nt
Filed under: Elaeis guineensis (African oil palm)
Lineage: Eukaryota; Viridiplantae; Streptophyta; Magnoliopsida; Arecales; Arecaceae
Description: long non-coding RNA (EGUI_LNC054089)
Source: RNAcentral